ACCUGGCUGGCUUAGUCAAUAGAGCACAUGACUCUUGAUCACGGGGUCAGGAGUUCAAGCCCCAUGAUAGGUA
Molecule: transfer RNA, 73 nt
Filed under: Felis catus (domestic cat)
Lineage: Eukaryota; Metazoa; Chordata; Mammalia; Carnivora; Felidae
Also listed under: 3 other names
Rfam family: tRNA
About the family: Transfer RNA (tRNA) molecules are approximately 80 nucleotides in length. Their secondary structure includes four short double-helical elements and three loops (D, anti-codon, and T loops).
Source: Rfam by way of RNAcentral